RNAcentral lists this ribosomal RNA (402 nucleotides) under bacterium. RNAcentral describes it as "partial 16S ribosomal RNA". It matches the Rfam family "Bacterial small subunit ribosomal RNA", at positions 355 to 776 of the family's 1533-position model. The record is from RNAcentral.
UGGGGAAUUUUGCACAAUGGGGGAAACCCUGAUGCAGCGACGCCGCGUGAUUUAGAAGGCCUUCGGGUUGUAAAAAUCUUUUCUAUGGGAAGAAAAUGACAGUACCAUAGGAAUAAGGACCGGCUAAUUACGUGCCAGCAGCCGCGGUAAUACGUAAGGUCCGAGCGUUGUCCGGAAUCAUUGGGCGUAAAGGGUACGUAGGCGGGUAAGCAAGUUAGAAGUGAAAUCCUAUAGCUCAACUAUAGUAAGCUUUUAAAACUGCUCAUCUUGAGGUAUGGACGGGAAAGUGGAGUUCCUAGUGUAGCGGUGAAAUGCGCAGAUAUUAGGAGGAAUACCGGUGGCGAAGGCGACUUUCUGGCCAUAACCUGACGCUGAGGUACGAAAGCGUGGGUAGCAAACAGG